AGUUCUUAAAGAGUUCUAAGGGCAGAAGGGUCCCUAUUGUUGAGGCUCUGGGGACAUCUCCCAGGGAACAGAGCUCUUCUGACCACAACACCUCUAAUCUUCUUCUCUGACUGCCAUAACUAUUGUGCAUUCUAGAAGCAGUUUGGGGAUCUGCUGGGAAACUUCAUUGUACCCUCUUCUCCAAGAUGCACAACAGUGAAGAGAGAGUCCAUCUUAUCGUCUUGCCUCCUGAAGAGAAACUCGGAUAACAGGGGUAAUGCCUCCUCUCUUCCCAGGGAUGUGCUAAAGCCAGCUCAUACAGAUUCUACUGGAAAAGACUAGACACUACAAAAGGCAACAUUUGAAGACUCAUUGGUCUUGAUCUCUUCAGAGAACCUUCUAAAGUCUAUCAGGAGUGGACAAAACUCUUUUGCUUCAUAGGGUGGAGGCUCUGAGUAUCCUGUUCUACUUGGAGACUGGGCCUCCACAGUACCUCAGCCUCAGGCUACAUUCAGUGAGGUUUAGAAACUUAUUGACAAUAGCAGAGGCCAGAGGUAGAAGACAUGUCAACAAAGAGCCAUGAGUAUAAAACACCAGAGAUGAACCAUUAUCCUACAAAAGGAAAAAGGAUUUAUCCCUUUGGCUAUCCGAGACUACAUUCAGAUGACAACUACAUCAGAGAAGAUUAAGGUCAAACAGCCCCACCAAGAGACAAGCUGACAGCUGCUGCCACCUGGAACAGAGUCCAACUCCUAGAAAAAGGGCCCCGAGUAAAUUGUCACAGUGGUCACCUGGAGAGUGAAGCCAAGGAGUGUGACUACAGCUCAAGAUCCAUCUCCUACUGGGACAUCACCCUCCUCUGCAAACAAAUAGGUACAAAAAGGCUUUCUAAGACUCCACAAGAACAUCUGCCUCUACCCCACCCCAAACAGAGUGUCCAGAACCAAUCAACUUUAAGAAGAUAG
This 944-nucleotide long non-coding RNA is filed under the name Monodelphis domestica (gray short-tailed opossum). Its description in RNAcentral is "lncRNA (ENSMODG00000040710.1)". Lineage: Eukaryota; Metazoa; Chordata; Mammalia; Didelphimorphia; Didelphidae. The record is from RNAcentral.